GGAGGGAUACCCGAGUGGUCAAAGGGAGCAGACUGUAAAUCUGCCGGCGCAGCCUUCGAAGGUUCGAAUCCUUCUCCCUCCACCA
RNAcentral lists this transfer RNA (85 nucleotides) under Syntrophomonadaceae bacterium. RNAcentral describes it as "tRNA-Tyr". It matches the Rfam family "tRNA". Rfam says of the family: Transfer RNA (tRNA) molecules are approximately 80 nucleotides in length. Their secondary structure includes four short double-helical elements and three loops (D, anti-codon, and T loops). RNAcentral also lists the same sequence under 1 other name. The record is from RNAcentral. Lineage: Bacteria; Bacillati; Bacillota; Clostridia; Eubacteriales; Syntrophomonadaceae.